Long non-coding RNA from Echinops telfairi (small Madagascar hedgehog), 777 nucleotides. RefSeq lists it as uncharacterized. The transcript is spliced from 3 exons. NCBI's taxonomy places the organism in Eukaryota, Metazoa, Chordata, Mammalia, Afrosoricida, Tenrecidae. The record is from RefSeq and is a predicted model, not a curated record.
AUGCACACAGGAAUAUAAAUUAUUAUUCUAUGUUUUUGUCUGUGUUUUCCUUGAUUUUGGUUUCCUCAAAAUUUCUCUCAAUCUGUUGAAUGCACUGAAUCUAUUCUUUGAAUUCCUUAUUAAGUUGUUCCCCUAGCAUUUGUUCCUCAGGAAAUUUUCUGGUCCUGUAUUCUUGUCACUUGUUUGAGCCAUCUUGUUCUGUGUGUGUGUGUGUGUGUGCGCGCGUGAUCUGAAAUUGUCUGUCAUCUCUAAGGCACUUUAGUGUUAUUAUAUCAAUUUAUUGACUGUAUAUUGGUUUGUUUCACCUUGAUUUUUGUUUUGUUUUCAUGUAUCCAGGCAACAGGAAAAGCACAUCUUCAGGUUACUAGUUUGGCAGCAGUGAAUCAACACCUCUCUCCAGGUGGAGCUGGUAGUGAAGAGGAGUGUGGGAGUGGCAGUAGACACGGAGCUGACUGGGAGAGCAAGCGCUGUUGUCAACAGAAGGGUUGGGGGCUGGCAUCUGCUCCGUGGGAUGGAAAAUCCAAGAUUAAACAACAGGGGAAGGAGAAGAAGAAAAGGAUACAAAACAAAGGGGACACAGAUGAAGAAUGGAGGAAAACAGAAAGCUGCUGCAAGUGCUAACUGCCAAACACAACUGCGGCUGGAAUUCAGAGCUCACCAGGGGAAGGGGCAGCGUUGUCCACGGCAGGGCCAGGGCGGACACCUGCUCCGUGGGAUCAAAUAAAUAAAUAGAGAAGGAGAGAGAGACCAGACUUCGACCAUAUGCGCCAAGACAUG